CGGCGGACGGGUGAGUAACACGUGGGUAACCUGCCUGUAAGACUGGGAUAACUCCGGGAAAACCGGAGCUAAUACCGGAUAGUUCCUCGAACCGCAUGGUUCAAGGAUGAAAGACGGUUUCGGCUGUCACUUACAGAUGGACCCGCGGCGCAUUAGCUAGUUGGUGGGGUAAUGGCUCACCAAGGCGACGAUGCGUAGCCGACCUGAGAGGGUGAUCGGCCACACUGGGACUGAGACACGGCCCAGACUCCUACGGGAGGCAGCAGUAGGGAAUCUUCCGCAAUGGACGAAAGUCUGACGGAGCAACGCCGCGUGAGUGAUGAAGGUUUUCGGAUCGUAAAGCUCUGUUGUUAGGGAAGAACAAGUGCGAGAGUAACUGCUCGCACCUUGACGGUACCUAACCAGAAAGCCACGGCUAACUACGUGCCAGCAGCCGCGGUAAUACGUAGGUGGCAAGCGUUGUCCGGAAUUAUUGGGCGUAAAGGGCUCGCAGGCGGUUUCUUAAGUCUGAUGUGAAAGCCCCCGGCUCACCCGGGGAGGGUCAUUGGAAACUGGGAAACUUGAGUGCAGAAGAGGAGAGUGGAAUUCCACGUGUAGCGGUGAAAUGCGUAGAGAUGUGGAGGAACACCAGUGGCGAAGGCGACUCUCUGGUCUGUAACUGACGCUGAGGAGCGAAAGCGUGGGGAGCGAACAGGAUUAGAUACUCUGGUAGUCCACGCCGUAAACGAUGAGUGCUAAGUGUUAGGGGGUUUCCGCCCCUUAGUGCUGCAGCUAACGCAUUAAGCACUCCGCCUGGGGAGUACGGUCGCAAGACUGAAACUCAAAGGAAUUGACGGGGGCCCGCACAAGCGGUGGAGCAUGUGGUUUAAUUCGAAGCAACGCGAAGAACCUUACCAGGUCUUGACAUCCUCUGACAACCCUAGAGAUAGGGCUUUCCCUUCGGGGACAGAGUGACAGGUGGUGCAUGGUUGUCGUCAGCUCGUGUCGUGAGAUGUUGGGUUAAGUCCCGCAACGAGCGCAACCCUUGAUCUUAGUUGCCAGCAUUCAGUUGGGCACUCUAAGGUGACUGCCGGUGACAAACCGGAGGAAGGUGGGGAUGACGUCAAAUCAUCAUGCCCCUUAUGACCUGGGCUACACACGUGCUACAAUGGACAGAACAAAGGGCUGCAAGACCGCAAGGUUUAGCCAAUCCCAUAAAUCUGUUCUCAGUUCGGAUCGCAGUCUGCAAACUCGACUGCGUGAAGCUGGAAUCGCUAGUAAUCGCGGAUCAGCAUGCCGCGGUGAAAUACGUUCCCGGGCCUUGUACACACCGCCCGUCA
This 1319-nucleotide ribosomal RNA is filed under the name Bacillus safensis. Its description in RNAcentral is "bacterial SSU rRNA". It matches the Rfam family "Bacterial small subunit ribosomal RNA", at positions 96 to 1399 of the family's 1533-position model. The record is from RNAcentral. Lineage: Bacteria; Bacillati; Bacillota; Bacilli; Caryophanales; Bacillaceae.